GAACUCCUUGCAUAAACUUGUAGUUUAUUUAACCAUGUCAAGAGGAAAUGACUCGCGAAUUUAUGUUGGUAAUUUGCCACCCGACAUUAGAGCAAGAGACAUCGAGGAUUUAUUCUACAAAUUUGGGAGAAUUACGUUUGUCGACUUGAAAACGCGAAGAGGUCCACCAUUUUGCUUUGUAGAGUUUGAAGACCCAAGAGAUGCAUCAGAUGCAGUUCAUGAAAGAGAUGGUUAUAACUAUGAUGGAUACACCCUGAGAGUUGAAUUUCCUCGAGGUGGAGGACCAGGGGGACCAAGAUCAGGAGGAGGGGGUUAUGGUGGUGGUGGUGGCUUCCGUGGAAGCAGUCGUGGAAUGGGUGGAGGUCGGGGCGGACCUCCAUCCAGAAGAUCUGAAUACAGAGUUUUGGUAUCUGGAUUACCUCCUUCUGGUAGUUGGCAAGAUCUCAAAGAUCACAUGAGGGAAGCAGGAGAUGUGUGUUAUGCUGAUGUCUACAAAGAUGGAACUGGAGUGGUGGAAUUUCUCAGAAAAGAAGACAUGAAAUAUGCUGUACGCAAACUAGAUGAUUCCAAGUUUAGAUCCCAUGAGGGAGAAGUGGCAUACAUUCGAGUAAAGGAAGAUUACAGAGGAGGUGGAGGAAGAUCAAGAUCUCGAAGCAGGAGUGCUUCACCCCCAAGGCGCUCCAGGGCAUCCCCCAGAUAUUCUCCUGUCAGAAAUCGAUCUAGGUCUUAAUCAUAAUUUCAAGGGUCCCAGGAUCAUGAAGAAAUGGAGUCAGAGAGAAGUUAUCAUAUCACAUCCAUUUUGAAGACUGUUAAUGGUUUUUGCUCUGUUGGAAAGUUUGGAUCAAUAUGAUGGGAAGCUUGGAUAUUUAGGAUAACAAGCUUUGAUCAUUGGAUAAUCAUGUUUGGAUAUUAGGAUACAAGCUUGGAUAAUUGGGAUAACUAGCUUGGAUCAUUUGGGAUCAAGGGAUCUGGAUUUGGGAUUUAUCUCUCCCUCUCAAAUUAUGGAAUCAGUGCGGAUGGAUCCCGAUGCCCAAACUGAAGAUUUUUGGAAUUAAGGAAUCCAUCCUAUUAGGCAUUUCAGGGUUAAGGCUCAAUUUCCAAGGAAAGUCUGACAGUAAAGAAAAUUGCUCUACUUUCUCUCUGUGUUAAGGUUACAUGAUCCAAAAUUUAUGAUCAAAGAGUGUCUGGUGUCCAUCCUUCCUUGGGUUGAAAUUCAUUUCUAUGUUUACUGGCAUAUGUUGGCUAGUGGAAAAAAAAUCUUCCAGCAAACUUGAAGUUUCACUUGCAUUUUUCCGUUUUUGUGCUACUUGAUCAUUUCUGUGAUAAAAAAAAAUACAGACUUUAUUCAAUCUUUUUUUAUGCCUCUAAGACUCUCCAUCAAUAAAAAGAGAGCAGUAAAAAUAUCAUUCAUCAGAUUAUAACAAAACUUUUUGAUUGAACAGAAUGUACACAUGUAAAAAAAAAAAAAAAAAAAAAAAAAAAACACACAUCUAAUUAAUGUUGUUAAGUCGUUUGGUAUGGACGAUCGGUAAACUUUGGUUUCACCAGAUUUUGAUAGAAAAAAUAAGAUUAACUUCCUAAAAUUCUAAAUAAUUUUUAAAGAUCGGCAACAUUUUACACACUAUGCUAAAGCCAGACAUAGUUUAGAAUUAGCUGUGUUGAAGUAUGACCUCUGGUGCAAGGGUAGGGACACAAUAAAGGAGGCAAAAUUGAAUAUGGGAAAGAUGUUGGGAAAAAUCUAUGAAAAUGUUGUUUGUUUUUUUUUCCUCAAGAACAGCAGGGUCAGAAUUGAUGAAAUAGUUCAGAAUCCCCAUAUUAUGUUCUAAUUAUGGCCUUGGGACAAGGACUGGAUCACUGUUGGGGAGAAAGUGUCUUAAAGUUCACAAGAAUAAAAUAUAAAAAGCUGCAAUUUGUAAAGUUGUCAUUAAGCCUCAACAUACGCAAUUACUCAAAACAUGGACUGUAAUUUGGAGACCACAUUAUCUACAUAUACAUAUUCGUUUGUCAGAAAAGAAAUGUUGACUAUGUGAGCAUUGUGGUCCAUUGGCCCUUUUGUCAGAAGAAAGAAGUACGUUAUUUUAGUAACUGUUUGAGCAAUUUUGUUCACUGCCAUUUUUGUUCUUGGACACCUUUUAAUUUAUGGAAGGAUUUGCUCUACUCAGGAUAAAUUUAUGCUGGGAAUAACACUAGGUGCCCAGUUGGAAACAUGAGAGGAGUGGAUGGAUGGAUCACAUUUACAUCAUGGAGUAGGAUUUUGAAAGGAAACAGAUAUCCUUUCAAAAAAUAUCAGUGGCAAAAUACAAAAGAUGUAUUAUUUCUAUGGAGGGUGGUUAAGGGUCCCUAAAUACAAAAAAAAAGCCAAACAGGUAUUCUUAAAACGGUUUACAAAUGAGUUUCAGUUGAGCAGGACACUUAGUGCUAUAGUAAUUGUGGAAAAACAUCUAUUAUAAGGUAUAAUUAUAGCAUAUUGAGUCGGAUCUUGCUUCUCAUGGGAUCUUGCAACUUGUUCAGGAAGUUCUGAGGAGGAUUCUUUUUGGAGUAAGCAAUGGAUAGGCAUUUGGUAAGUGGGUAAGAAUAUCUGGUUAAAUAACAAGGUAAAGGGGGUGUAUGUGUCUUUUUUUUGGCAUCAAAGAGGAAUGCACUGAAAGGUGGUUCUUCACAGGGAAUUCAUAAUUGUAGAUAGUGAAGAAUACCAAAAUGAUUUAUGAAAGCACAUAGUAGAAAAGAAAACAUUUCCAAGGGCUUUGAUAAACAAAAUUAUGUAUAUUUUUCACUAUAUUUAUUGCAGCUUUUAUUUCAGCUCAUUCAAUAAAUAUUCUUACAACAAG
This is an RNA transcript of Saccostrea echinata, 2828 nucleotides long. It is a transcript of the gene named serine/arginine-rich splicing factor 1-like, with no coding region annotated. Lineage: Eukaryota; Metazoa; Mollusca; Bivalvia; Ostreida; Ostreidae. The transcript has 6 exons. The record is from RefSeq and is a predicted model, not a curated record.